RNAcentral lists this transfer RNA (84 nucleotides) under Bacillota bacterium. Its description in RNAcentral is "tRNA-Leu". It matches the Rfam family "tRNA". Rfam says of the family: Transfer RNA (tRNA) molecules are approximately 80 nucleotides in length. Their secondary structure includes four short double-helical elements and three loops (D, anti-codon, and T loops). RNAcentral also lists the same sequence under 1 other name. Lineage: Bacteria; Bacillati; Bacillota. The record is from RNAcentral.
GCCCGGGUGGUGGAAUGGCAUACACGUACGCUUGAGGGGCGUAUGGGGAGACCCGUGCGAGUUCAAGUCUCGCCCCGGGCACCA